This 72-nucleotide transfer RNA is filed under the name bacterium. RNAcentral describes it as "tRNA-Arg". It matches the Rfam family "tRNA". Rfam says of the family: Transfer RNA (tRNA) molecules are approximately 80 nucleotides in length. Their secondary structure includes four short double-helical elements and three loops (D, anti-codon, and T loops). The record is from RNAcentral.
GCUCUCAUCGUUCAACGGAUAGGACACUCCCCUGCGAAGGGAGAAAUCCAGGUUCGAUUCCUGGUGAGAGCA